AGUGAACGCUGGCGGCGUGCCUAAUACAUGCAAGUCGAACGGAGAUUAAGUAGCUUGCUAUUUAAUCUUAGUGGCGCACGGGUGAGUAAUAUAUAGCUAACUUGCCCAUUACUAAGGGACAACAGUUGGAAACGACUGCUAAUACCUUAUACUCCGUAUCUAUAUAAGUAGAUACGGGAAAGUUUUUCGGUAAUGGAUAGGGCUAUAUCGUAUCAGCUAGUUGGUAAGGUAAUGGCUUACCAAGGCUAUGACGCGUAACUGGUCUGAGAGGAUGAUCAGUCACACUGGAACUGAGACACGGUCCAGACUCCUACGGGAGGCAGCAGUAGGGAAUAUUGCUCAAUGGGGGAAACCCUGAAGCAGCAACGCCGCGUGGAGGAUGACACUUUUCGGAGCGUGAACUCCUUUUCUUGGGAAAGAAUUAUGACGGUACCCAAGGAAUAAGCACCGGCUAACUCCGUG
RNAcentral lists this ribosomal RNA (462 nucleotides) under uncultured bacterium. Its description in RNAcentral is "partial 16S ribosomal RNA". It matches the Rfam family "Bacterial small subunit ribosomal RNA", at positions 29 to 507 of the family's 1533-position model. The record is from RNAcentral.